UAAACUAGGAUUAGAUACCCUAUUAUUUUAAAGGUUAAUCUUAAAUAUCAAAUUAGUAUUAGUUAUUUUCUUGAAAAUUAAAAAAUUUGGCGGUAUUUUAGUCUUUUCAGAGGAACCUGUUCUAUAAUUGAUAGUCCACGAUAAUAUUUACUUUUAUUAUUAGUUUACAUAUCGUCGUAGUUUAAAUAUUUUAAUAGAAAAUAUUUAAAAUUUUGUAUUAAAGAAUAAAUCAGAUCAAGGUGUAGUAUAUAUAAAAGAAGAGAUGGGUUACAUUAAAUUUAUUUUUGAAUAAUUUUUUUUAAAAAAAUUUGAAUUUGGAUUUGAAAGUAAUUUUUUAUAUUUUUUUAAGAUGAUUUAAGCUCUAAAAUAUGCACACAUCGCCCGUCGCUCUUAA
Molecule: ribosomal RNA, 394 nt
Filed under: Bruchidius biguttatus
Lineage: Eukaryota; Metazoa; Arthropoda; Insecta; Coleoptera; Chrysomelidae
Description: partial 12S ribosomal RNA
Source: RNAcentral